AUUGAACGCUGGCGGCAGGCUUAACACAUGCAAGUCGAACGGUAACAUAAAGAAGCUUGCUUCUUUGAUGACGAGUGGCGGACGGGUGAGUAAUGCUUGGGAAUCUAGCUUAUGGAGGGGGAUAACUACGGGAAACUGUAGCUAAUACCGCGUAGUAUCGAGAGAUGAAAGUGUGGGACCUUCGGGCCACAUGCCAUAGGAUGAGCCCAAGUGGGAUUAGGUAGUUGGUGAGGUAAAGGCUCACCAAGCCGACGAUCUCUAGCUGGUCUGAGAGGAUGACCAGCCACACUGGGACUGAGACACGGCCCAGACUCCUACGGGAGGCAGCAGUGGGGAAUAUUGCGCAAUGGGGGCAACCCUGACGCAGCCAUGCCGCGUGAAUGAAGAAGGCCUUCGGGUUGUAAAGUUCUUUCGGUAGCGAGGAAGGCAUUUAGUUUAAUAGACUAGGUGAUUGACGUUAACUACAGAAGAAGCACCGGCUAACUCCGUGCCAGCAGCCGCGGUAAUACGGAGGGUGCGAGCGUUAAUCGGAAUAACUGGGCGUAAAGGGCACGCAGGCGGUGACUUAAGUGAGGUGUGAAAGCCCCGGGCUUAACCUGGGAAUUGCAUUUCAUACUGGGUCGCUAGAGUACUUUAGGGAGGGGUAGAAUUCCACGUGUAGCGGUGAAAUGCGUAGAGAUGUGGAGGAAUACCGAAGGCGAAGGCAGCCCCUUGGGAAUGUACUGACGCUCAUGUGCGAAAGCGUGGGGAGCAAACAGG
RNAcentral lists this ribosomal RNA (759 nucleotides) under Parahaemophilus parainfluenzae. Its description in RNAcentral is "Haemophilus parainfluenzae bacterial SSU rRNA". It matches the Rfam family "Bacterial small subunit ribosomal RNA", at positions 28 to 776 of the family's 1533-position model. The record is from RNAcentral. Lineage: Bacteria; Pseudomonadati; Pseudomonadota; Gammaproteobacteria; Pasteurellales; Pasteurellaceae.